RNAcentral lists this long non-coding RNA (930 nucleotides) under Capsicum annuum. RNAcentral's name for it is "long non-coding RNA (CANN_LNC004159)". Lineage: Eukaryota; Viridiplantae; Streptophyta; Magnoliopsida; Solanales; Solanaceae. The record is from RNAcentral.
ACCAAUCGAGGGACCAACACAGAAGGAGGUAACUAAAGAGAAAAUGAAAAGAAAGAACAGAUACAGAGAAAGGCCAAUAUAUAUAUAUAAUUAUAUAUAUAUAUAUAUGGUGGCUUCGGAAACAGCCUCUCUACCUCCUAGAGGUAGUGGUGUGGACUGCGUACAUUCUAUCCUUUCCAGACCCCAUUACGUGGGAAUAUAUUGGGUUUGUUGUUGUAUAUAUAUGGUGGCUCAAAUUCUUGACAUUAUUCAUAGUGCAAGAUUUGGAAAAAAAAAAAAAAGAAGUCUUAACACUUUACACGGCAAUAGCAUUUAGUAAGACGGCAAAAAUCACGGUCGAAACCAUCACAUUGACAAAUAGAAUUACAGUUGCUGUUCAUAUUAGCAUUGUUAGCAAAGCAUGUUCCAUAAUAGCGUGGGCUCUGCUUCUCACAUUCCCUUCCCUCUGUUACCAUUGUCUAUGCAAAUAUUCCAAAUUCCUCGAUCUUGUUAGAAUAAACAAAAAUUCCAACUCAUCAUAACUGAACUGUAUAUUAUCAAAUUGUAUCUCUUCGAUUUUAGUUUCCAAUUCUUGCAAACCGCUCGUCAUUUCCAUAUUCCUACAGAGAGUUAUAUGACUUUUUUACUAAAGAAUAACAGAACAGCUAUGUAACCAUCUAGCUAGGAAAAUUUGAAUGUUAUUUGUUCAGGACUUGUCACUAAAUUCAUAGCUCAUUUUAGUUACUAAGUUCACAAGUAAUCAGUCUUCAUAUUUAUUUAGUAAUAAAUUUGUCUAAGUUAUUAGGCUUAUUUUCGACUUGUAAGUAAUACUUUACCUCCGCCUUUGAUUGAGAAUAUCUAGUUUUUCAAGUGUUAUUUUGGAAGGUGUGGAGAGAAAUUAAAGUUAUUAACUUACCAGUAGCAAAGAUGAGCAUUAGAAGAAGGCAUAAA